RNAcentral lists this long non-coding RNA (14216 nucleotides) under Coffea arabica (coffee). RNAcentral describes it as "long non-coding RNA (CARA_LNC006973)". Lineage: Eukaryota; Viridiplantae; Streptophyta; Magnoliopsida; Gentianales; Rubiaceae. The record is from RNAcentral.
UUUUUUUUUUUUUUUUUUUUUAUCUUAAUGACUCAUGCAAUAUAAAGAUAAUACAACUUGGAUAUUGACCAUGAAUAAGACAAUGCACUUGCGCAAUAUAUGUAAACUCACCGCAAGUUGUCUUGCAAAAAAAAAAUAGCGAAAGUAGAUCACACGCACGGUCUCUUUGUUUGCAGGAGAUUUUAUAAUCUAAGUGUUUCAUUCAAAGUUUUGUUUGACAAUCUGAAGGUAGUAGUGGAAAAUUUAGACAUAGAUUUCAUUUCUUUAAAGUUGUUAAGCCUUUCAAGAUGCAUCAUCUUAAUUGGAUUCACAUUUUCAUCUAGUUGUUUGAAGACAAAAAACAAACUUCAUCUAUUUGGCAAAAGACAAAAAUGGAAAAAAAAAAAAAAAAAAAAGAAGGGAAGAGAUGGGAAGGAAGAAGCUAAAAAAUAAAUGGUGGCCGUUCAUUAACAAUGGCUAAUUUCCCCAUCAGUUAAUCAAGACCAACUAAACUAAUUAACAAUGGCUACUUCAUUCAUUCCCAAUUGGUUUUGAAGUAAAAGUUUAUAUUCUUUAACAUGUUUUCAAAGGUAGUACUUGAUCAUGUUCCAUUCACACAUGACUCGAACUCUAUGUAUUGAGCUUGGUUUCAUAGACUUUUGCUAUGACAAUGCUCUGAUUCAUUUAGCCUGUUUUUUGGCUCUUAACUAGUAAAUUUUGUCUUAAUUAUAAAUCUAGUCCACUUGAUCUGUUUAGCAAGUCACAUUAAUCUGUUCAGCUCAAGUCAAGGGUAAGAGGGAGUGUUUGCCAAUUAAUUUUAAGAUGAAAAUAACCUCAGAUUCUGCAGCAGUGACAUUCAAUAAUUGAGUUACAAAUGUAAAACAAAAAGCUAAAACUACUCAAAUUAGUGCUAACAUAUAUAGGUUACCUUAUACAUGUACGUACAUAUUAUUGUAAGGUCAAAUGUGAUAUUCAUUGUACUUUAGAAUCAGCUUACGCGUAACAAGAACUUAGCUCCAGUGGUGCGAUACUGGUUCAUACUUCAUAUUAAUGCGGGAAGAAAGAGUUCCCUGUAAUCAAAUUUACGUCCUGCUUCUUUUCACAGCAAAUUAACUUAUAUAAAAGUAAAAGGAACACGUUUUUUUUGCUGCAGCUACGAUCAUGAGUUAUUGAUAUAUAAUCCAAUUUUUAUGUGGAGAGUUAGUAUAUGACCGAAUUAUUGGUCGUUGGGACAUUAUUUUAUUUUCUUUUCAGCGUUUUGUUUGGACAAAUUAAGGUAGUUGGGAGUUGAGACUUGCAUUGAAGAAUCUAAGCCGAUGAAUGAGAAUGCAUCUUAGGAUAAUGUUUUAGGUGAUCGAUUAAUUCAGCAUAUUGAUUGUUUUAAAUUCAGCCUACAGUUUUAUCAAACAAGCACAUAACAAUCUCAUUGAAUGCAUAUAUUCAAAUGCAGGUGCUUCUUCUUCUUCUUCUUCUUCUUCUUCUUGUGUUCCAGACUUCAUUAUGCAUAAUCUUGUAUAACUUAUUAUUGCAAGUGCCCAUGUUUGCUUCAAUAACCCUGGAAUGGGUAAGAUAUGCAUGGUGAAAAUUAUUUCUUCUUAAAAGGUGAUUUUUCACAAAAUCCCAGGUGAGAGAUCUCUUCCAAUAAUUAGUUAUCUAUAUUUAUGUAAAUUUGAGAAGGGAUUUUCAGCAAUAUUCCUCCACACACCUUCCACUCUCAAUUCUAUUUUUCUAGCAUUUCACAUUUAAUUUAUUCUAUAAAAUACAUUCCUCUUAACUCCCGCUGCAUGUACUAUUGAUAUUUAGUUACUUUUCAAAAUCAAUUCAUCAUGUGACCAAUAUCCUUUACAAUUAAAAUAACUCAUUAUUUGCACGUUCAACACCAUUUUAAGUCAUUAGUGUACAUGUCUUUCAAAUCACCACCAUGUUUGCAUCUUUGAACUCAACACAUUUUCCAUUGGCAUGUGUCAAAUAUGAAUUUCACUCCAAUUAAGAUUUUCCCAGGACCAUAAUAAGAGACGUUUUCGUUUUUGAACUCAACAACUUUCCCAUUGGCAUGUGUCAAAUACAUACGAAUUUCACUCCAAUUAAGAUUUCUCCAAAAUCAUAAUAAGAGAUAAAAACAUAGCAUCCUUCAACCACAACACUUCAUUCUUGCAACCAAAAAAAGAAAAGGACAAAAACCACAAUAUUUCAUGGGUAUCUAUCAACUUUGCCCAUUGCUUAUCCUAUCUGUUAAUUCGUCAUAAUAGUUCGUCAGCAUCUAUCAUCUCUUCUCAUUGCUGCUUACCUCAUAUGUUCAUUCGUCGUUUUCGUAAAUAAAAACAGGAAUCUAUCAUCUCUUUCAACUUCCUUACAGUAUCCAUCUUAACCCUCGACUUAAUUUCAUCAUGAAAUAUACCCACCUACAAGGUUAAAUAUUUUUGAAUACUUGCUUACAUUCAAAACAUUAAUAUAAACAAUUCGUUCUAUGAGUUAUGCAAAAAUUGUGGAUAACUAUGUCAAUCUCAUUUUGCAAAAAUAGUGUGUGUUCAUUGUAAUGACGUAGUCAACACUAUUGUCAAGUAAUUGUUUUCAUAUAUCUUUAAUUUUAAUAUAAUUUUCUGUAUCAUACAUUACAUUUUCUUCUUAAUAGAUACAAUGUGAACAUAGAAGUUAGAGAUUCUAGUGGUAACUUAUACCUUAAUCUUCAAGACAUGCAUGUACGAUUCAUAUUUUGUUGUGAUACUUCUUAUCUUUACGAUUUAAAAAGGAAGAAAUAAAUUAUUUAUACGUAUAUAUUUUUAUACAAUAUUAUUCACAAACUUUCAAAAAAAAGAGAUAAUUCUAAAUUCUGUUUGCUCUUAAUUCUAGGAAAAUAGAGGUACAUUGUUCAACCAACACAUUAACUCAUCGAAAAAUUGUGCCUUCUCAUUUAUAGUACGAACUCCAUAAAAUUCAAUAAAAUUAAUUAAUCCCCCCAAUAUUGGCGUUCGUACUUAGAGUUGAUUGGUGUGAAGAAUGUUCACACCUUCAUAGAAGAUCAUCAAAUCGAAAGCAAAAUAUUUGUAAGUUUAAAUAUUCAAUUUCUUUUAAUUGGACCCUUAUAUCGCUCAGUUUAUGAUAUACAUUUCUACUUUUUUUUUUCAAGAUUCGACUUCCAUCAAAUGUGGUAGUUUAUAAAUAAUGGAGAUAUUUUUAUCAUACUUGGAGCUAUUACUACAAAAUUUCAUUUUUUUUAACUAUGUUUUGAUGUGCCCUAAAUUAUAUGAACAAUUACAUAAAUUUCUUAUUCUUUUUAAAUUCCUCCCUCGAUUAUUGGAGUUGUUCAGAACUAACACAUAGUUUCAUUUUAAAGUCCGAAACCAUUCUCCCAAAAAAGGAAAAAAAAAAAAAAAAAGUCCUCAAACCUUCUUAAUUCCCUGUUGGACUUGUACCAUGUAUUGUGUUGGAGAAUUGGAGAAGGUCCAAUCUGCCAACUAAUGUAAGCCCGUGAUUCUAUUUUGGGUUAGCUUUUCGGCCUAAGAAACAUAAUGUUCCAGUAUUUCUCCUUUUCUUGGUGAAAUGUGCACUUUCAAGGCUCGGAGAAUGAGAAUCACCAGCCCACCCAAGAUCAACCCAGAAACCUUGUUUUGUCCACGUAUGUUCAUUGCAGUGCUAGAUUGGAUAGAGUACACUAACAACCUCUCCUCAAAUUUGUUAAAAAACUAGAGUACGCUAAAUUGGGUCUCAUUUGAUUGAUAUUUUCUAAAAUUUUUGUAGAAAAUAUAUUAUAAUGAUUUAAUAUAUGUAAGAUUAAAAAAAUGAUAAGAAAUAUGUUCACGGAAAAUGCAAAAAUUUUUCAGUAGAAAACUACAAUCCAAACACCUACGUCCUUCAUUUGAAAAUUAUAGAAACCUCCCUCUUGUUUGGUAGACUAAAUCAGAAACCUUUAAUUGGAGUAAAAUGACAUCCCACAAAAUAUCUCCAUAUGAUAUUUAAAUUUCCCUUUUCAAUAAUAGCAAGACAAGAAUAGCAUUUUAUGUUUACCAAUUUUUUUGGACUAACUAGAGAGAGAGAGAGAGAGAGAGAAAAAAAGGAGAAUUGGCAGCUGGUGCUUUUGUUGAUGGAAUGUCUGAUGUAAUAGUGUUAAACAUUGGAGUAUUACAGAUGUAGUAGGAGCUCUUCUCCAUUGUAAAGCUGAAUUUGGAUAUCAAUAAAAUGAUAGUUUUCUUGCUAAAACAAAAAAAUUGAGAAAUUUUUUUGCCUUAGCUCACUUUGUUUUUUCAAUUGUACUUUGCCCUUGGCAACUAUCAUGGUCUAAUAAAUCUCAUGUUUGGUUAUGCUUUUUCGAGAUAAUAAUUAACUAUUUAAUUUAAGUCUGAUUCUACAAUGCAUUCUACAAGAGAAUAAGAGGCAAAUGUUUUAUAGGAAACACAAAAGUAGGAAAGAUGACCAAAGGCCCAAAAGAAAAGUACCAAAAGAAAAGAGUGAAGAAAAAGAUGCAAAUUUGUUCGCAUGCACUUAUCACCUAUAGUGAUAUGUGGAGAGCACAUGGAAGGGGCCCGGGGUCUUCAUUAUUACAAAAUUAAGAUGAGGGGUCCCUAACUUUUCUAAAACUACUUGUUAUGAGAAAAUAGAUUGCUGCAUCCUUUUGUGUAUAAUUAAAAAUGGUAAGUAAUUUUAGGUGUAUAAUCAUCGUAAAUAUUCAAUUACUAUCUAUAAGAAUAUAUGUUAAUUUUUAAGUAUAUAUUAUAGCAUUUGAUGAAUACUAUUAGAUUAUAUGACUUCAUGUAUAAAAAAAAAUUAAAAAUAGAAUGGUAGUUGUACGUUUAGAAUGUGAACAAAUUUAAGAGAAUAUUGGUUAUAUUUCUUUAAAAGAAAUUAGUAAUGGACAGCGUAAAACACUAGUUUAAUAUAUAAUUAAAUUGUGUUAGAAUGGUAGAGGAUUAGAAAUGAAUGAUUAGAGAAAUUUUAAUAAUGUACAAUUUUGAUCUAGAGAGUAGUGGGUUAUUCAAAUUCGAUAUGGGAUUUGUUUCUAAUAAUUUUACAAUUACAUGUACAAUAAAAAAAAUGCAAAAAAAAAAAGUGAUCAAUGUAUAUUAAUACCAUAUAUUAAAUCCUAAAAUUUUUAAUGCAAGUGGCAUGCAAAGUUUCAAAUUGGGACGUUACACUUACCUUUCAAAGACACAGGUAGCGUAUUCCAACAACUAUUCGUAUCUCUCUUUAGUCAAUAUCAAUCAAAAGGUCUUUUUCUUUUAAUACGAGAAUGGUUCCAAUUGAUACAGUUGUGUCGCAAAAAAUAAAAAUGAGAGAUUUUUUGCGACACUGGAAAAGAACAGUUAUCAACCAUGAAAUGCCAAAAGUUAAGCAUUCAAACAAGAAUGAUUAGAAAUAUCGUCUGAGAAAGAAUGGGUCCAACUCCAACCAGCAUCGCUAUAGUAGUAAAUUUUUGUCCGGCUAAAGCCUUCUCCAUCCAUGAAAAGUGAUUUGGCCAUUUCUAAUUUAAAUUAGUGCAAUUUGGGAUCCCUGUUGGAGUCAAUAGAAAUGAUUGCACUUUGGGCGAUUUCAAAUCCAAACCAACCUUUCCAAGAGCAAGUUUAUGCCUUCUUUAGUGGAGGGGCCAAAAAAACUGAAAGUAGUUCUUUGUCCAAUAUUCACACUCUUUUCUUAAUUGAUGGAAUAAUAUAGAUUUAAGUUUAGAGGGAUUUAAUGACUCUCUUUUUCCUCUGUCAUUUUUCCCCCUCUUAAAAAGUGGCAAAAAAGUAGCCAAUUGAUGUGAUGGAAUGACAUAAUCUUGUUGGCCCUUUUUUUUUGGGGGGGGGGGGGGGGGUGUGGGAGAUGGAAGGAAUAAGGUUUUAAAGUUUCAAAGAGUAUUGUGAGCUCUUUUAUUAAGUCAAUUGUGCAAAACUCAAACCAAAAAUUGUUUAUGAUUUGAAAAAAGCUAUAUUUUUUCCCUUUCUUUCAAGAAGAAUCAAUAAUAGUUCUCUACCUACCCCUCUGAAAAAAGUCAUAACUUAAUUAGAAUCUUUGGAGGGGGGAAGGGGGUGGGGAGAAUGAGUUGGAUGAUACAGAAGAGGAAGCGCGAAUGAGAGAUACUUGGAUCGAAACCUCUCACUUAUACUAAAAAAUAUUUAAUUAGAAAAUGAAAUAGACAUCUAGACGUGAUAACCCCUUGACAACUCAGGUGAACUGUCCCCAUGUUAUUUGAUCGCAGGUUGUUCAUGUCUAAAGCUAAACUUACGUCUAAAGUGUUUCUAAGAUUCUAUUUCUGCCAACAGUGGUGCCAACAUAGCAAUUUUGUAGUAAUAAUUAAGUCAAGAUGGAAGAUUCUAUCACCACUGAAACCUCAAAUCUUUGGGUCACUAAUUCAUAAGCCGUAAGUUGGGAUUCCACGUCUACUAAAAUAACAAAUUUCUAGUAAUAAUUAAGUCAAGAUCGACUAUCUAUUUCCAUCAAAGCUGCAAAUCUUUGGAGACACUAAUUUAUAGGUUGUAAAAUUAGCUCAGUGCUUGAGCCUUGUAGAAUAAUUCAUAUGUUUAGAUCUUAUCUAGUUAGCCAUGAAGGUUGUUAUGUAGACACUCAGAAACUAAAAAACAAAAGCCUUUGAAGGACUUUGUUUUGUUUUUCUUAACUCUUGCCCAAUUGUAUUAGGAAUGGCAACGGGCCCGCCCCGCUGUCCACUAAUUUCCCUGUCCCGCCCCUCGUCCUUGCUCCCCCCGCCCCACCCUCGCAGGGCACCUACGAGACUAAUAAAAAUUUAUCAUAUAAUUUUAUUACAGUUAAAUUUUAGCAAAUAAUCAAGUAUUAAAAUAUCAACAUAUCAUCAAGUUAUUAUUCAUUGUAAUUUUACAAUUGAAAUCCAUAAGAAUAAUCAAAUAAAAGUUAUUUAAAUGCAAUCCAACAUGAUGAAACAAAUACAAUUAAAGUAGUCAAGUUUUCACUUUUGACACAAAUACAAUCACUAAGGCUUUAUUGUGUUUUUUUUUUUGACAAAAAAGUAUUAUUGUGUUAAGUGUAAUUAGCAAUUUAGUAUAAAUAUAUUAGUAAAUUUAGUAUAACUAAUUAAUAAUUGCUAUUAGUAGACAUGUAUAAUUAUUAGUAUAAUUGAUAAUGUCAAUUAUAUUACAUAUACUAAUAUACAUUAUAUAAUAUUUAUAACUAAUAAUAUCAUUAUUAUAAGUUUACAACUAAUUAAAUUAAAUAUUAUAUAUAUAAUUAUAUACAUAGAUUUAUUUAUUUAAUUUUUUUAACCGAUGGCGAGACGGAGGAUGGGACGACUCCCUCGCCCCGUUUCUAAACAGGGAAAAUUUUUUUUUCCCUCUCAUUAGCCUCGUGAGCACCCGCUUCAAUUGCCAUCCCUAAUUUGUAUUCCCUUACAAAACAUUAGAGGAGUUCCAGCUCCACAUAUGAUUGUAACCGGCCAGCCUUAUUUCACAUCGUUGUAUUUCUUUAUUGUCUAAAAUUUCUUUGAUAUCAAAUGAAAUAAUCAACAACAAAAUCCACCAAUUAGAUAGAAGAGUCCACUUCAACGUUCACCUUACCUAUUAAGCAACAAAUCAAAGAUAAGGUCAAACAUUACCAACAGAGGUGUAAUACAAAGUCAAGAAACUCCUCUUCCUCGAUUAACUAGAACAAAAAAAAAAAAAAAAUGCUCCACACCACACGUGUCCCAUAUCCAACCGAUUAUCUCAACAUUUUAAACUGGGAUAAUUUGAGAAACCUCCCCGUGAGAUUUCUAUCAGUUUUACUUAACACUCUUGAAGUUUUAAAUAUAUCACUUGCCUCCCCUAACUUCAAAAUUUUGAAACAUUCUCAAUUAAAUCCAAAUUAUAAGAUUAAAAUACACAUUUUAGGAAAGAGAAAAUAAUUUCUUUCCAACAAUACCCGUCUUGUUACCUUACUUUUUUGAACUCUAAUUAUAAUAAUCUAAUAUUAAAAAUAAGGACAAAAAAUAUGAACGUGCAAUUUUUCUAGAUGAACAAAAUGUAGUAACCGCAAUCAUAAGUAAUAUACUUUUUUAAGUGCAAACAAAUAAUAGAAGUUUAUUUAACAUGUUUUCAAAAUGCAAAAUAAUUUUUUUCUUUAGGAUUUGUCUAUUUAGUACUCUAAGGUCACAUAGUAAGAAAUAAACCCGAUAUGAUUGUUAUUAUUUUUUUUUUUGAUAAAAGCGUAGAUUUCUUUUCACAAAAGUGUUGCAAUUCAGGUGUGUUGCUUUGAUUUUGAAACUUCAAUAUUGGACCUACCUUUAUGUAGUUAUAAGCUUAUCGUGUGCCCUUAGAUUACCAAAUAAGAAAAAUCUUUCUUUUUAUUUAAAAUAUUUUGAUUGAAUUUAAUAAUUUUUUAUGAAAUGUUUAGAAUCUUUAAUUUUUGUUUAUCUAGAUGAAUGGCUUCAAAAUUUAGAAAAGGAAGCAAAAUUAAAAUUACAUUUAAAACUUAUUUGAGAUAUUUAGAAGGUAAAAAAAAGUUAUUUUCUACAUCUUUACAAUAUUACAAAUAGUUUUACAUGCUUUGUUAAUUAUUUAUAAUUUGUCUAUUUUAAAUUUUGUCUCUAAAUUAUAAAUAAGAUUUGGUAAAGGACAUCUCAACCCAAAACUUAUAAAUUUUCAUUAAAGAACAAAUCUAUGAAGUUUUCAAAUAUCAAGAGAUUUUAAAUUGAUUUAUCAUUACAACUAAUGAAUCACAACAAAAAGGUAACUUUAGAAUGAAAUAAUUUUCUCUUUCCUAAACAUAGUAUUUUAGUCAUAUAAUUUGAAUUUAGAUUGAGAAUGUUAUAAACAUUUAAAAUUAGGGGAGGUAAACAAUAUUUUUAAAAUUUUAAGGGGUUAAGUAAAAUUAUCAGAAACCUCAGGUGAGGUUUCCUAAAUUAUCCCUUUUAAAUUUAUGUACGUCAGUUAGUUUUUGCCGUUUACUUUCACCAUCCCAAUUUUCCCGGCAUUUAGCAUAUAGCUGACGUGUCAAGUUCGCAUUAGCUACCGCAGCUCACGCGGUUCAAUGCGUGUUGCAAACGGAUCCCAAAGUUCACAAGUGCAAGUUGAUAAGCAGACACAAAUUUCUUUGCCUUAUAACCCCUCGUGCCUAUAUAUACCCCUCGUGAUCAAUUUUUCAAGUGCCCCUGCCUCUCUUCAUUUCAUUUGACUUUUUCUGAAGGUUGUAGCCUCUGUUUCAUCAGCUCUGCAAUCAUCCUUUUCCAUUAGGUUCUUGGUAAGUUUUUCUGUUUAUUUUCUGCUGAAUUCAACAGGGCUCUAACCAUUUUAGCAUUUCUUCAUCUGGGCCUUUCUUAUUUUUGGCUAACUAUAUCUUGAUUUGCAUGUUGGCCAUUUUGCAGAAAAGAAUUUGCUUCUACAUUCUAGUUACUAUCAAGAUUCAAUUUUUCUGACAAGGGUCCUUGAUUUUAGGUGAGCUCGUAGCUGUUCUUUCUUAAAAAUUGUGACUUUUUCUUGAUGUUUGAAAUGUUGGCUUAUACGCGGUCUAUUUUAUGGAGGCAAUUUGUUAAUUUUGUGCCUGCAAUUUUGCAUGUUUUGCCUUUCUGCUGAAAAACCCUGUGUGUAUGUUAUAGUUGUUUCAAGUUUCAUUUUUCCAAGAAGGACCCUUGCUAAGGUGAGUUUUUAAUGGCCAUUUCUUGAAAUUACAUUAUUUGAUGUGGAUGAUUUCGUCAAGAAUUGUUUUUGUUGGUAUUGUUGGAUGACUUAAUUUUGAUAAAAUUUUGUGGGAUGUGAAGAUUUUUGUUGGAUUGAUGGCGGUGAAGACAAAUGGAUUUGUUGAAGGGUGUUUGCCUGAGGAAUUGUUGAAGUUGCUGUUGACUCUGGCUUCAACUUGGACAGAUGUAAUUGAUGUGAAUGCCUUUAAGGUGAUUCCACUGAAGGGGGCCAUGACUAAUGAGGUUUACAGGGUAACUUGGCCUACAAAAAGCAAAGAUAAUACAAGAACAGUUUUGGUUCGUGUUUAUGGUGAAGGUGUUGAACUUUUCUUCAACAGGGAUGAGGAAAUCAGGACUUUUGAGUGUAUGUCGAUCCAUGGUCAUGGACCUAGGUUGCUCGGACAGUUUUCUGAUGGAAGAGUUGAAGAGUUCAUUUAUGCUAAGGUUUGUUGAACUUUGUCUAGAGCUACUUUGAAGCUCAUACUUUUUUUUCCGAGUUUGUAAAGAAUUAGAACUAUGACCGGAAAUUGUUACAGUUAUGAUAGCUAAUUGAAAGAUAAUGUUAUCUAUCUGAUGCAAGUCUGAUUUUGUUGCUAGUUCUGCACUUUUAAAGAUCUGGAAGUCCUAUACACCGGUAAAAGACUUUGACACUUGUCAGCAGUAUUAAAUCUAAAAUUUAAUGCUAAAAUCUAGCAUUUUCUAUUGGAAAGUGUUUUAAAGCAUCUCUGAUUGUGUAGAUGCUUAAAUAGCAUCUCUGGACUGCAACCUCAUCGCAAUAAUUAUUUGUGCUGUUCUGAUGAGCCCAGAAAGAUAGAUUAGUUUUUGCUUGACUCUAAUAGCUGUAGUAUGUGGAGCUUUUACCAAUCUGGCUCAUUAUUUUGGCAAAAUUGACUAAAUAGGAAAAGUGAAUAGGUUGGCAGUGACUUAAAUUUUCAGGACCUGUAUGAUUACUGGUUUUUGGAAUUACCUUAACUAAUUGAGUAACGUAAAGCAGUAGACCGUAGCCUGACACCUUCGUCUUGCUAAUCUUUCUUCCUUAAAUGAUGGUUUGCUGAUCUAAGUGCUCUGCUCAAUUUCUCUUGGACUUUCAGACUCUAUCAGCUGCUGACCUCCGUGACCCUGAAAUUUCUGCUCUCAUAGCAGCCAAAUUGAGAGAAUUUCAUAAACUUGAUAUGCCUGGUUCAAAGAACGUUGUGCUGUGGGGCAGAAUGAGGUAUUACCUGACUACUUAAAAUUGAAUAUAGGGCUUUAGAAAAAGAAGUUCCUCUAUUACUGAUAUUUCUUGUUCCUCAGAAACUGGCUAAGGAAAGCCAAGAGUUUGUGUAACCUAGAACAUGUGAAGGAGUUUUGGUUGGAGAAGUUAGAAAAAGAAAUUAGCAUACUGGAAAAGGAGCUGUCCCAGGAUAACCAAGAAAUCGCUUUUUGUCACAAUGACCUGCAAUAUGGUAACAUAAUGAUUGAUGAAGAGACCAGAUCAAUUACAUUCAUCGUAAGUGUCUGCUUUGGUUUCUGCUCUAUUUUACUUCUUUUUAUAGCCAAUCUUAGUUUUAUUUUGAAUUCGGACACUGUUAUUUGUAAUUGGGUUUUUCUGAGUUUUUAUGUGGUGCUUUGUGGGAAGUCGUCAAGGUUCUUUUCAGGGAUAUCAAUUAAAUGAAAAUUUUCUUUUAACUGAACGUUAGAUGACUGAUAUCUUGCAAAGAAGUAAUUACAUGUAUGAAGUUAAGUGCAAUGAAACCAUGCUAAUCUUUAAGCUUCGGUAUUCAUCUUAUGGUUGGCAAACACUUGACAUCAUCUGGUUUGAAGAUACUUUCUGCUUUGGAGGGGUGGGGGUGUCAGGUUGGAAAGGUAGAGUUGUGCGUUUCGUAGACACUUAUCAUGACUUGCAAAAUUAGCUCUUGCUGCUUCUUCUUACCAGAAUAUUUUAAGGUUUAUUAAGCACAGCGGAAGUAUGUGAGAAUGACUGCAAACAAACUCCAGUGAGAAAGGCCUCUCCUUUAUCUUAUAGCUUGACUGUUUCCAUUUUACAGGACUAUGAGUAUUCUAGUUACAAUCCAAUUGCCUAUGACAUCGCAAAUCAUUUCUGUGAGAUGGUGGCAGAUUAUCAUACCGACACUCCGCAUAUUUUGGACUACAACAAAUACCCUGGUAAGUUAAAGUUAAUAAGUGAUGAUUUCUGUAAUUCUUCAUUUACCGUUUCCAUCAUGUAUGUUAGGAGCAAUCUGCAAAGCAUGAAGAUAUUUACUUUGUCAUCCUUAUUUUCGAAACAGGUCUGGAGGAGCGCCAAAAGUUUGUACGUGAAUAUCUAAGUUCUGCAGGUUAGUCUAAUUUGCUCCUAUCUUAUUUGUUCAGUGUGACAAAUGAGAACCUGGAUGUGGAAACUCCUGUUAUCUACCUUAAUCUGCCUAAAUUGUGAAAUCUUGUAGAAUAUGAAGCAAUAGCUUUUAGGUUUAGAAACUAAGAGUUGAUAGAAAGCAGUAAAAUUCAAAGCUUAGGCUCAUGUACCUAACAGGCCAAGUUAGACACAUUGGCCUGGGUUCCAUAGAUGAUUUUUACUGCAAACAACAAAAUAUCAAUUGUCAACUUCAUAAUUUCUGCAAGUAAUAGAGCCCUGCCCUUACAAUCUCUUGCUUACAUAGCCAAUUCCUUUUGAAUGGAUAUCCAAUUUCCUUCAAGCUACCUAAAAGUCAAUGACCAUGCAGCUCAAUAUACUUGUGUGGGUUAUAGUGACCCACGUUUUAGGUGACAACAAAAUCAAUCCUAGUUUUCUCCACCUAUUUAUACUCAUCCGGUCGUAGCAUUUUGUCUAACAUAAUUAAUAGGCUGAAAGUGACCUGUUAAAUGGUUGAUGUACAAUUCAAUGGUAAGCUUUGAUUGUUUCUAGUAAUAGCUUGAUGAGCCUUUUUUCAAGAUAAUGACAGCUUUUGACAAGUUCAUUGAUGAUUUUCAGGCCAUGAACCUACUGAUGCUGAAGUCAAGCAGCUCACCAUCAACGUGGAGAAGUACACUCUUGCAAACCAUUUGUUCUGGGGAUUAUGGGGAAUCAUUUCAGUAAGUAUUUUGAAGGGUUUGAUUUUGCUGUUUCAUUUGCCUGCUUUGACGGAGAAAGAUACCAAGUACAUGAAAACUUUUUUUUUUUUUUUUUGGUUUGGUGUUUGGAUUUGCAGGCAUAUGUCAACAAUAUUGACUUUGAUUACAUGGAGUAUGCAAGGCAGAGGUUUCAGCAGUACUGGCUCAAGAAACCCAAGAUUUUAGAUAUCUCAGUAGACUCAUUGUGUGAAACCAAUGAUUCAGCAGCAGAACUUAAAAUUUAGUUUUCCUCUCCUUUCCUUUUCCUAUAGUUUCAAAUCUUGUAUAGUUUAUAUGUAUUUAUAACUGUUGCAAUAUAUCAAUGCAACAUCUCAUCCGGUUGACUUUUUUGUCAUGUUGGGUGAGCCCAGAGGGAACAUAAUUAUAAGGAGCACAUGGUCAAAACAAGAAGUAAUCAAUCAAAUGGACCAUUUGUUAUAGUAACUUAAUUAAGAGUGUCGGCACAGAAAUUUAUUCUCCUCCGCCCAAUUAGCAAAUCAUCGAUGCUCGUAGACAUGCCAAAUUGACAUUUUGAAUAUCUUAAUAUGCUCUGAUUGCCAAGAAUGAGAACAAAGUUCUUUUGUAGAGACGACAAAUGGUAAAGAAAAAGCUAAAUGCAAUUCUAGUAUAAUCAUCAGUCAUUAUUACUUCAGAUUAAAGCUCCCAGUGUCCACACUUGCUGCUUCGUUCAUGACGACUGAUAAGCGUGUAAAUUUACUUAAAUGUGCAAAAUAUGGAUUUGGGGCAGGGACGGUCAUACUGAUGACCGUCCCUGCACGGUUAAGGGCCAAGAUUUGCCCUCAAAAUUUUGUGCGGCUGAGAUUACACCAUGUAACUCAAUUUUCGCGUCAAGUGUGGGGCCCACCACUAUCUGUUCUGAAAAUACAUUCUGUAAAAAAAAAGUUACAUCGUGUGUAAAUAUCAUCCGUCCGCAGGUCCUACAAGCCGCCAGCCUUGGUCUUGUGUCCUCCUUUCAUUUAUCAGUCUGCAGGGUCAAUAUCACAUAUAUCCCCACCACCGACGAAGAAGACUUUUAGCUGGAAUCAGCAAUAAAGUCGACAUCAGAAUCUCUUGCGUAUUUUUAUUUUUUCUUCUUUUUCGAGUGGAUUGAUAACCUAACGAAGUAAACCAACUACUCUUGGAGUAAUUAGCCGCCAAGAGAGGUUUAGAACUCUACUUGGUCAAGGGAUAAAAUGCACCCGUUCGGAUUCUCCUUGAGUCUCUUCAGGUUCUCCCCUCCCCUUAGUAUAGAAUAAGUGUAGGUUUAUCGUAUCCCGAAAAGAAAAAAAAAAGAGAUAACCUAACGAAGUAGGGGUUGGAAGGACAAUAAUUUAAGUUUGGUCCACCACAAGGAUCAAAAUAUAAAUUCUUUGGCGAAAUUGAAGCAGGAUUCAAGAGGAUAGACCAGACAUAGAGCGAAGAUUUUCAAUGAUGGAGUCUAUAGCAGAAUGAGAACCCUUUGUAGCUGCAAACAACAGGUGUUUAGGAGCUUCAGCUCUGUCGAAGUAUAAUGAUCCUGGUACUAGUUUUUCUUUUGGCUGCAAAGCUAACCACACCACUGUAUCUGCACCUUCCU